AUGUAAACUUCUGUGGUACCUGCAACUGCAAUGCAUCUACACAAUAACAAACCUUAAAUAAGUACAUGUUUAUAAUACCCUGGAUCUCAAUUUAAUGGCAUCCUUUGUGUUUAGAAUAUCCUGCCAUUAAGCAGUGCUUUAUUCAGAGCUGUAUUAUUAUCUUUGUUAUCCAUGAAUAUGUGUUCACUUCCUAACGCUUCUCAGCCAAUUAAGCUUUUUCAUUUUCAUUUUUCAUAUCACCUGAUGUGCUCGUUAGAAAGCUGUUGGAUAUGAUCCAUCGGGAACUUCUGCUAUACAAGCUCCAUCAACAUGAAUGGUAUGUACGUAAGAUUACAACACUUGGGAUUUGAGCAAAGAGUAGAAUGUGUUCCUUAAUCGUUAUACUGAACAUUGAUUUGCAGAGUGUGUGACUUUUUCCGUUUCAUCAGUUGAUUUCAGCAAGGCCUCCUUUCAUCUCUCAUUUCCAGUUUUUAUUUAUUUUUUAAAUUUAAAAGCAUUUAUAAAAUGCUCAAUCUUUCAAAAAUCUCUAAGUGCAUAGUAUAAAAAAACAAAGCAGAAAACCCAUUUAAGCAAUAGUAUAAAAGCACAGAAAAAUAAUAACAGGAAUCCAGGGAACUUCAACACAUUAAAUGUCAGGAACUGGCUGGAUGAAGAAGAGUGUUAAGAGGAACCAGCCAGGGAACCCCCAGAGGAGGAAAGCUAAGAGCAGGGGAUUGCUGGUGGGACACUGAGGAGAGGUCAGAGGGAGAAGACUGGAAGUGCUGAAGGGGUGACAGGGUUUAGUGAGCAGGAAGAGCCUGUGACAGGGAGCAGUUCAGACUCCAAAGCUGAAGCAGAGGAGAGGGUGGUCAAGGAAUUGCUGAAGAAUUCAGAGACCUGCCCUCUCUUGCUGCAGCAAGCCCCCCUCCCCCCUGGUCUCCAAGAACUCACAGAGCAAUGGGAAGAGCAGAACAGAGGUCAGAGGUGUGCAUGUGCAGUAUGAGACUGCUUGGGAAACAUCCAGGAGAGGAGGAGCCUUAGAGAGGUGUGGAAGCAAUAGUAUAAAAGCAUAGAAACUGGCAACUGCUCCAUAGGGGCAAGACCUGCUGAGGAAUGUUGCUGAGACCACUAGGCUGUUGUAUGUCUGUUUUCUUGAAUAAAUAGUUAACUUCACUGAAAACAGUGAACUUUCAGAUUUGAAAAUAAGGGAUCAGCAGCCUCACCUGUCCCGGGGACCCUCGAAAAUAAGGGAUCAGCAGCCUCACCUGUUCCGGGGACUGUCUACGGGAUAUCUAACAAUCCGGGAUAGCAGUGGGAAGCAGUGGGAAAUGGCGCUGGAAUAAGGGAAUUUCCCGCAAAAAAAGGGAAGGUUGACAGGUAUGCCUAUGAAUAUUUCACACACCACUGGCUUUAUCUUUAGUGUGUGCUUAUAAACUCAAAUAUAAAAUGUUCUAUAGUUGUUGUAGAACUAUUACACUAAACAAACUUUUUAGAGUCAAAGUAUUUUGUUUCUUUAAAAUACUUUCUGUCUAAGAGUGUAAGUGGUAACAAUGCAGAAAUAAUGACAUUUUGAUG
RNAcentral lists this long non-coding RNA (1554 nucleotides) under Podarcis lilfordi (Lilford's wall lizard). The record is from RNAcentral. Lineage: Eukaryota; Metazoa; Chordata; Lepidosauria; Squamata; Lacertidae.